GGAGUCUGGGCCGUGUCUCAGUCCCAAUGUGGCCGUUCAACCUCUCAGUCCGGCUACUGAUCGUCGACUUGGUGAGCCGUUACCUCACCAACUAUCUAAUCAGACGCGAGCUCAUCUUUCAGCGAUAAAUCUUUGAUAGUUAGAUCAUGCGAUCCUACUAUAUUAUGCGGUAUUAUCAGUCGUUUCCAACUGCUAUCCCCCUCUGAAAGGCAGAUUGCUCACGUGUUACUCACCCGUCCGCCACUAAGUUAUUUAAAGCAAGCUCCAAAUAACUCCGUUCGACUUGCAUGUGUUAAGCGUGCCGCCAGCGUUCGUCCUGAGCCACUGAUCAAACUACU
Molecule: ribosomal RNA, 338 nt
Filed under: uncultured Ruminococcus sp.
Lineage: Bacteria; Bacillati; Bacillota; Clostridia; Eubacteriales; Oscillospiraceae
Description: partial 16S ribosomal RNA
Source: RNAcentral